AAAUGCCCUGAAGAAGUGAGUCAGUAAAAUAUUUACCAAAACUUCUCUAAAUACCAACCAUCUCAUGAUGCCUGCCUAGAGUAUCUACUUUCCCACCUCCAAGAUUUUCCCCCAACAUAAAAUCUGAGAAGAUAUGAAAAGAUGCUGCCAAGAUACUACUCUUCAAUGCUGGUCCCAGAGGAAAAUUCACAAUCAGACAUCAGAGUGACCACAGAGGAUGAAUGCAACAGCUUAUUGGAAAUGGAAUGUGAAAUAUCUUUAGAGAGACAGCUUCUGUGUACUCAAACCAGGGCUAUUACAUCUUGGAUUUAAGGUCCUGUGUUAUGUGGAGCUUAAUGUUAUCAUUAAAUAAAGAUGAUACCAGAACUGCAGAGGUAACAACUCUUCUGAAAGGCUGAGUCAACAGGAAAAAGAACAGUCAGCAGUGAAUAAGAGAAAUCUGGGAUGCCUUCACUUCUGAUAUCCAGUAAGGAAGAGGAAACAGCACAGGCCCUUCAGUGACCUUACUGUUGGCUGAUUCCAGAGAGCCACCUCAUUAUUCCGACUUGAAACUUCUCCAUCUCAAAAAUCAGAGGUUUUGGAAAUCUAAAGUCAGUAGGCAAAUGCCAAUCUCUAUGGGUGCAUUUCACUAGUGAUGGCUACAGAGUGAAGACUGAGGAAGAAUGCACAUCACAGUCCUGCUCUGACAACAUAGGCCCAGGGAAAUGAAAAAGAGCAAUUUUUCCAUUAUUGUAAACUGCAAAAAGUGUUUCCCAGUGAAAACCACAAUUUCACUUUGGUUUGAUGAGCAUGCUGUGAUGCCAUUGUGCUCUCAUGAACUUUCAGCUAUGAAUCCGUAUGGGAAUAAUUUCAUUGUGAGAAGGUGGCUUCCAUUCUAUCCUGAAAAAAAGCUGCAUGCAAAUCACAGAAAGCUACAGAAGAAAGUACCAGUCAUUGUUUGAAAGCAUUGUGGCCUAUGGAGAUGGAAAACAGAACAUGAAUUUGCCUCCAAAUUUUAUAAGCUUCUAGAAACAUGAAUGAAUGAGAAACAAAUGCAAAAAUUCGCUUAAAAAUAAAAUCUCAAAACCUUGUUGCUUUUACAAUGAACAGACCUGGCAAAAAGGGUUAAUUAUCUUGAGUAUCAGUGUAAAAACAGGUAGUGCUCUUCCAGGUAUUUUUUGGUUGCCAGCUAGAUUAGUGUUAGUUGCUAACAGUGAAGUUAUCAGCCAUUGGAACAAAUGAUGAAGAGGAGCAGUGAGUUUACCAUUUCUUGAAGUCUGCAAACUGAGAGGGGUUGGUAUGCCUCAGCACACAAUGGAUACACAGCUGGGUGAAAUUAUAUUGUUGUGCUACAGAGAAGUACAUGAAAUAUUCUAUGUUGUCCUUUCUAGCUUUAAGAGCCAUAGUCUAUAAUUUCAGAAAGAUAUUACAAAGAACUCUAAUAAGUAGUGAUAACCACAGCACUAAUCUGAAUGCAUCUUCUGAUUUUGGGUUGAUUAUGCCAAAGUAUUAAAAAAAUUACAGAUUUUAAUUUUAAUAAUUAAUUGUUUCUAUGUGUUUCUGUCACAAAACCUCGUAUUACUAGCAUUAUUUUGCAAUAUUGGAAAUUUGGUUUUGAGGACUAAAGAGACCCUUCCUCUUGCCAGAAGAGCAGAAUGUACUUUAGUUCAUGAAAGUGUGUAUAAACAUGUAAGCAUGCAGGCUACUGUUUCCUGACCUGAUCUAUUGCAGUCAAUAAAAUCAAUAAACUAGACUCAUUCAGUGAAAUAAAAGACAUCUCAUGAAGAAAA
Molecule: non-coding RNA, 1769 nt
Organism: Agelaius phoeniceus (red-winged blackbird)
Lineage: Eukaryota; Metazoa; Chordata; Aves; Passeriformes; Icteridae
Source: RefSeq, a predicted model, not a curated record